UACAGAGGUCUCAAGCGUUGUUCGGAUUCAUUGGGCGUAAAGGGUGCGUAGGCGGCGCGGUAAGUCGGGUGUGAAAUCUCGGAGCUUAACUCCGAAACUGCAUUCGAUACUGCGGUGCUUGAGGACUGGAGAGGAGACUGGAAUUCAUGGUGUAGCAGUGAAAUGCGUAGAGAUCAUGAGGAAGACCAGUGGCGAAGGCGGGUCUCUGGACAGUUCCUGACACUGAGACGCGAAAGCGUGGGGAGCGAACCGG
RNAcentral lists this ribosomal RNA (253 nucleotides) under uncultured bacterium. Its description in RNAcentral is "partial 16S ribosomal RNA". It matches the Rfam family "Bacterial small subunit ribosomal RNA", at positions 524 to 776 of the family's 1533-position model. The record is from RNAcentral.